RNAcentral lists this ribosomal RNA (404 nucleotides) under Actinomycetes bacterium. RNAcentral describes it as "Actinobacteria bacterium partial 16S ribosomal RNA". It matches the Rfam family "Bacterial small subunit ribosomal RNA", at positions 355 to 776 of the family's 1533-position model. The record is from RNAcentral. Lineage: Bacteria; Bacillati; Actinomycetota; Actinomycetes.
UGGGGAAUAUUGGACAAUGGGCGCAAGCCUGAUCCAGCCAUGCCGCGUGAGUGAUGAAGGCCCUAGGGUUGUAAAGCUCUUUCACCGGUGAAGAUAAUGACGGUAACCGGAGAAGAAGCCCCGGCUAACUUCGUGCCAGCAGCCGCGGUAAUACGUAGGUGGCAAGCGUUAUCCGGAAUUAUUGGGCGUAAAGCGCGCGUAGGCGGUUUUUUAAGUCUGAUGUGAAAGCCCACGGCUCAACCGUGGAGGGUCAUUGGAAACUGGAAAACUUGAGUGCAGAAGAGGAAAGUGGAAUUCCAUGUGUAGCGGUGAAAUGCGCAGAGAUAUGGAGGAAAACCAGUGGCGAAGGCGACUUUCUGGUCUGUAACUGACACUGAUGUGCGAAAGCGUGGGGAUCAAACAGG